CGCGUAGGUGGUUUGUUAAGUUGGAUGUGAAAGCCCCGGGCUCAACCUGGGAACUGCAUCCAAAACUGGCAAGCUAGAGUACGGUAGAGGGUGGUGGAAUUUCCUGUGUAGCGGUGAAAUGCGUAGAUAUGGGGAGGAACACCAGUGGCGAAGGCGGCUUUCUGGACGAUGUCUGACACUGAGGCGCGAAAGCCAGGGGAGCGAACG
RNAcentral lists this ribosomal RNA (207 nucleotides) under uncultured bacterium. RNAcentral describes it as "partial 16S ribosomal RNA". It matches the Rfam family "Bacterial small subunit ribosomal RNA", at positions 568 to 774 of the family's 1533-position model. The record is from RNAcentral.